This 1327-nucleotide long non-coding RNA is filed under the name Junco hyemalis (dark-eyed junco). RNAcentral's name for it is "lncRNA (ENSJHYG00000007702.1)". Lineage: Eukaryota; Metazoa; Chordata; Aves; Passeriformes; Passerellidae. The record is from RNAcentral.
AUGGUACAUCUACUGCAAUUCCCUGUGUAUCCUGCUGAUCCUUGUUUUCCCCAAGAUAAGGCAACCCAAGCCUUCUUGUUGGAAAUGCCUGGAAGUGUUUACAAAGCACUCACCAAAAGCAUCCAGAAGGAAGGCUGGGCACAAUUUCAGUGCUGGCACGCCAAUGUGGGCUCCUGUGUUUCCUGCUUCCCUGGCAGCCCCUGUGGAGUUUGUCAGCCAAGAUCUCACUCAGUUCCUCACCUUGAUGGUAUUGGGGUUGUCACAGCCUGCUUUUCCACAUGCAGAUCUUGCUCUUGGGUUUACAUGGCAAGUUUCUUACAGGCUUGAGCUGCUCUUGAAAACCUUUUGGAGAAGAAAAAUGUGCCCUGGGACGGCUUUGAAGCAUUUUUGGGUUCAUUGUUGAGAUCUGACGUUCUCCAACGCAGAUAAAUUGGUUCUGUGGCCUUAAUGGAAAUCUGAAACUCUACCCAGCAUUUAGAAUUUCUCCUCAUGGACCGGAUCCUUGGCUGCCAUCCUGCCUGCUUUGGUCUGCUCGGGAGGAAUUUGGGGAAUGUACCAAAUGUUUAAACUGCAGCUACAAAUUCAGGUUUUCUUCAGCUCAAGAGGAAACUACAAUUAAGACAUGAUUGUUGUAAGGAGAAAAAGCCCUCUCAGCUGAAGUGUUUCCAAGCUACUCAUCAGUUCCCUAGUGUUUCUCUUGUAGAAAUUCAUCUAGUCCUGUGAUAUCAAUCUUGUAAACAAAUACUUUCUUUACUUACCUCCUGUGAUAAAAUUCAUGCUUUAUAUUUCUCUAGGAACUCCUUGGCCCGUUCUUGUCUUCUUUCAGAUUGGGAAAUGUGAAGAAAAAAGUUAAAAAAAAAAAAUCUCAGUUUGGAUCACUCAUCCUUGUAAUGACUUUUAAAAAACCACAAAAACAUCAACAAGAAAGUGAAUUGAAACAGAAUUUAAUAUUUUCUUCUAAAUAUUCUUAAAAUUAAAUAACAACUGUAUGGCACAGCAAGAGCAGAUACCUGGUCCAAAUGCCUGUUCUCAGAAUAUACGAUGAGGGAAAAAGUGAUGAGUGCCAGGGGAAUAUGUUUCAUUUUCUUGUGUCUGUGUACUUGUGGAUGAGGAGCCUGGCAGCCAGGUCCUGUUAAAUACAGGGGUUCACCACUGCUGAUUGAGCUACCCAUGCAAGUAUUAUACCCAGGGAUGCACAGCUGCCAUGAUACUUUUUAGUUUGAGGGGAUUUGGAAAUGUGCUGCUGUUCCAAGUGUCUGUAAUGCACGUUCCCUUCCCAGAGAUGGGAACAGAUCCAUUCCUGCUGCUCUGAAUGGAAACAUCCUCU